RNAcentral lists this ribosomal RNA (497 nucleotides) under uncultured bacterium. Its description in RNAcentral is "partial 16S ribosomal RNA". It matches the Rfam family "Bacterial small subunit ribosomal RNA", at positions 28 to 507 of the family's 1533-position model. The record is from RNAcentral.
GAUGAACGCUGGCGGCGUGCCUAAUACAUGCAAGUCGAGCGAACAGAUGAGGAGCUUGCUCCUCUGACGUUAGCGGCGGACGGGUGAGUAACACGUGGAUAACCUACCUAUAAGACUGGGAUAACUUCGGGAAACCGGAGCUAAUACCGGAUAAUAUAUCGAACCGCAUGGUUCAAUAGUGAAAGACGGUUUUGCUGUCACUUAUAGAUGGAUCCGCGUCGCAUUAGCUAGUUGGUAAGGUAACGGCCUACCAAGGCAACGAUGCGUAGCCGACCUGAGAGGGUGAUCAGCCACACUGGAACUGAGACACGGUCCAGACUCCUACGGGAGGCAGCAGUAGGGAAUCUUCCGCAAUGGGCGAAAGCCUGACGGAGCAACGCCGCGUGAGUGAUGAAGGUCUUCGGAUCGUAAAACUCUGUUAUUAGGGAAGAACAAAUGUGUAAGUAACUAUGCACGUCUUGACGGUACCUAAUCAGAAAGCCACGGCUAACUACGUG